CGUAGGUGGCAAGCGUUAUCCGGAAUUAUUGGGCGUAAAGAGCGCGCAGGUGGUUGAUUAAGUCUGAUGUGAAAGCCCACGGCUUAACCGUGGAGGGUCAUUGGAAACUGGUCGACUUGAGUGCAGAAGAGGGAAGUGGAAUUCCAUGUGUAGCGGUGAAAUGCGUAGAGAUAUGGAGGAACACCAGUGGCGAAGGCGGCUUCCUGGUCUGCAACUGACACUGAGGCGCGAAAGCGUGGGAGCAAACAGGAUU
This 253-nucleotide ribosomal RNA is filed under the name uncultured bacterium. RNAcentral describes it as "partial 16S ribosomal RNA". It matches the Rfam family "Bacterial small subunit ribosomal RNA", at positions 526 to 779 of the family's 1533-position model. The record is from RNAcentral.